This is a non-coding RNA of Rattus norvegicus (Norway rat), 525 nucleotides long. The record is from RefSeq and is a predicted model, not a curated record. Lineage: Eukaryota; Metazoa; Chordata; Mammalia; Rodentia; Muridae.
AGCUUGGUGACUAUGAUCCGACUCCCUGUGUCCCCCCUCCCUACACACAUACUUCACACCUGUGUGGUUGUUACUGUUCUCUUGACCACCAUGAGGCACAUGGGAGUGAAGACCUUUUCCAAGUAUGAUUUAGCUGAAGAACUCUGGUCCUCAGUGGGUCCUUGGAUGAUGGAAGAUCCAUCCUGACUCCCUUUGAUCACACAGAUGGAGAUUAUGGAGUGUGGAACAUCAUGGCUUGACUCUUGAUGCUUCAUAUUUCCCUGCUAAAGCACGUCUCGUGGUUAAAACUGGCUCUGAAGAUGGAAAAGUCAGUCCAAACAUCUAAAAUCAUCAAGGUGAAAUGAAUUGGGGUAUGUUAAACAGCCCAUUGGCUGUCAUAAAACUUAAAACAGAAUGGCCCUCAUCAGCAACCAAAGUGGGAAAAGAAUAAGAAAAAACAAUAUUCAACACUGAAAACUAGACAUGAUAUGGUCACUCUCCUAACCAAUCCUAUAUUAUAUCAGAAGAGUAAUUUGGAAAUGCCUA